GACUCGGUAGUGUAAGGGUUAGAGCACGGUGCCCGGAAAGCACAAGUACGGGUUCGAGUCCCAUCCGAGACU
Non-coding RNA from Haemonchus contortus (barber pole worm), 72 nucleotides. NCBI's taxonomy places the organism in Eukaryota, Metazoa, Nematoda, Chromadorea, Rhabditida, Trichostrongylidae. The record is from Rfam.